This 493-nucleotide ribosomal RNA is filed under the name Endopterygota sp. NZAC 03012214. RNAcentral's name for it is "eukaryotic LSU rRNA". It matches the Rfam family "Eukaryotic large subunit ribosomal RNA", at positions 602 to 910 of the family's 3401-position model. Lineage: Eukaryota; Metazoa; Arthropoda; Insecta. The record is from RNAcentral.
CCGGCCCACGGACGGUAUGACAAGUGAACCGCGCACGCGUUUACGCGCGUCCGGCCCGACGCAAGGCAACGUCGUCAUCGAWGUCCUGCCCGAGUGCGGACGUCGGUGCGGCGCGCCUGUCGUCGCUGCCGUGCAGUCUCGGACUGUGCGCGUCUCUGUCUGCGAUGAUUCAGUUUCGGGCACUCGCAGGACCCGUCUUGAAACACGGACCAAGGAGUCUAGCAUGUGUGCGAGUCAUUGAGAUAACAAAACUGAAAGGCGCAACGAAAGUGAAGGCGUGCGCUUGCCGCGCGCUCAGGGAGGAUGGAGCGUCGAUCUAGGUCGGCCUCUCGCACUCCCGAGGCGUCUCGUUUCCAAUCUGUGAAUGCAGGCGCGCUCUGAGCACAGAUGCUGGGACCCGAAAGAUGGUGAACUAUGCCUGGUCAGGUCGAAGUCAGGGGAAAGCCCUGAUGGAGGACCGUAGCGAUUCUGACGUGCAAAUCGAUCGUCGGAA